UAUUUCAAAGUAUUUAUAUGAAACUUAAAUUUUUAAAAUAUAAAUUUGAAUAUAAUAUUAAAUUUUAAAUUUAAAAGUGAAAUUUAAAUUAAAGAAAUUUUAUAUUACUAUUUAAAGUUUAAAUUCAAUGAUCAUAUUAUCAAAUCAUUUGAAAUUUUCCUUAUAUGAAAUGCCAAAUUAUGAAAGAAAAGAUAGGGAGAGAAAAAGGAAACAAAGAAAAAAUAAAAAUUUUAAAAAUAUAGUAGAUGUAAAAUGACUAAAUUGCCCAUGUAUUAAAAGACAAAAAUAUUAUUUUUUGAGGUAUCUAGUAACCGGUACCUCUUCCAAAGUGAUCUGCUAUUGCAAGUCGCAAUUUAAAAAAAACUAAAUCUGAGCCGUUGAAUACGCGUGAAUGAACGGUAACAAAAAAAAAAAAAGAAGUAUAGAAGCAUUACUCCUAUUUAUUUGUGCUUGACAGGAAUUUGUGGAAGCAGAAAAUGCUGCCACAUAUAUGCUAGAAGAUGUCAAUUAAUAUAUUUAUAUGGACAAAAUCAUCAUAAAAUUAUUUAUAUAAUUAAGUAAUUAAAUAAUAUUAAAAUUUCAAAUCAAACAACCUCACGUACUAAAACUAUUUCACAUUCUCAUUCCCUACAAAUCCCACAAACUCAAAUCAAUCGCCCACACCCAAUCCAUGACAACAACAUAACAAAUUGCCCUAAGAUCUCGGUUCUCGAUCAAUCCAAGUACCAAAUC
Molecule: long non-coding RNA, 732 nt
Filed under: Ananas comosus (pineapple)
Lineage: Eukaryota; Viridiplantae; Streptophyta; Magnoliopsida; Poales; Bromeliaceae
Description: long non-coding RNA (ACOM_LNC022048)
Source: RNAcentral